Acanthosepion pharaonis is the source of this 113-nucleotide non-coding RNA. Lineage: Eukaryota; Metazoa; Mollusca; Cephalopoda; Sepiida; Sepiidae. The record is from the annotation of a GenBank genome assembly.
UACGACCAUAUCCUGUUCAAACACCGGUUCUCGUGCGAUCUCUAAAGUUAAGCAACGUCGAGUCUAAUCAGUACUUAGACAGGUGACCGCUUGGAAAUAACAGGUGCUGUAAG